UCGAUGAGUAAGCUUUUUUUCGAUCGUCUCAUUGAGUCCACAGUAAUAUCGCUCUGCCCUUGACCUCUCUGUGGAAAACUUCCAUUUACUCUCUCGUCUUAAGAGUUAGGCGUAAAAAGCAUGAAACACGACAAGCUUUUUUUUAAAAAAAAUUCGGUCACCGACUAUCAAAAGCGCGAACCAUUUAAAACGGAAGUGCCCAAAUCAGGGACGGAAUGCGCGUCUCUUUUAGGGACCGUUUCCGCUAAAUUUCUCCGGAUGCCGGUUUUUUACUUGUAGUUUUGAGGAAGACGCCCGGGUGUUAUUGCUGGCUUUUCCUGAGUCAUGUAGCUAGGCUAGAAAUUUAGCUGGAAGAGGCGACAUUCAAGGCAGCGGUCGGAGGUGUAACAGGGUAAGUGUUGCUGGGGAAGUAAAUGCCGUCUGUCAAAGCCCCCGCUCCUGAAGAGAAAAGGGAGAUCCUUAAUGAAGGAUUAAGGGUUCGCGGUCAAAAACUGAGAUGCUGGAUCGAGCCGCUGACCCGAGAAUAGCCCAUUUGGUGGGCACGUUUCGCCUGUGAGGAACUUUUAACAUAAAAGAACGCUAUGAUAUGUACAACAGUUUUUGCUUUGCCUAUAUUAAUUAGAAGUGCCAGUAGAAUUCUUCCCUGCUGUUCUUCAUACUUGUGUCUAAGACAGGCAGCUGUAAGAUACUGCACAAUAAAUGGUAAAAUGAAAUCCAGAAGAAAGUCAGACCACCUGGAGAGAACAGCAAAUGACUUUCGGCAUGAGAUUAUUUCUAAAGCAAAAGUGUGUGGCAUCAACAAUGAAUCUGAAAUGGUUAAAAGACUCCGUUUGGCAGUGAUGGAUAAAGAAUUUACUUUUAAGGCAGGAC
Molecule: non-coding RNA, 870 nt
Organism: Python bivittatus (Burmese python)
Lineage: Eukaryota; Metazoa; Chordata; Lepidosauria; Squamata; Pythonidae
Source: RefSeq, a predicted model, not a curated record